RNAcentral lists this ribosomal RNA (484 nucleotides) under uncultured bacterium. RNAcentral describes it as "partial 16S ribosomal RNA". It matches the Rfam family "Bacterial small subunit ribosomal RNA", at positions 30 to 507 of the family's 1533-position model. The record is from RNAcentral.
AUUGAACGCUGGCGGCAUGCCUUACACAUGCAAGUCGAACGGCAGCACGGGUGCUUGCACCUGGUGGCGAGUGGCGAACGGGUGAGUAAUACAUCGGAACAUGUCCUGUAGUGGGGGAUAGCCCGGCGAAAGCCGGAUUAAUACCGCAUACGAUCUACGGAUGAAAGCGGGGGACCUUCGGGCCUCGCGCUAUAGGGUUGGCCGAUGGCUGAUUAGCUAGUUGGUGGGGUAAAGGCCUACCAAGGCGACGAUCAGUAGCUGGUCUGAGGACGACCAGCCACACUGGGACUGAGACACGGCCCAGACUCCUACGGGAGGCAGCAGUGGGGAAUUUUGGACAAUGGGCGAAAGCCUGAUCCAGCAAUGCCGCGUGUGUGAAGAAGGCCUUCGGGUUGUAAAGCACUUUUGUCCGGAAAGAAAUCCUUGGCUCUAAUACAGUCGGGGGAUGACGGUACCGGAAGAAUAAGCACCGGCUAACUACGUG